RNAcentral lists this ribosomal RNA (492 nucleotides) under uncultured bacterium. RNAcentral's name for it is "partial 16S ribosomal RNA". It matches the Rfam family "Bacterial small subunit ribosomal RNA", at positions 29 to 507 of the family's 1533-position model. The record is from RNAcentral.
AGUGAACGCUGGCGGUAGGCCUAACACAUGCAAGUCGAACGGCAGCACAGUAAGAGCUUGCUCUUACGGGUGGCGAGUGGCGGACGGGUGAGGAAUACAUCGGAAUCUACUUUUUCGUGGGGGAUAACGUAGGGAAACUUACACUAAUACCGCAUACGACCUACGGGUGAAAGCAGGGGAUCUUCGGACCUUGCGCGAUUGAAUGAGCCGAUGUCGGAUUAGCUAGUUGGCGGGGUAAAGGCCCACCAAGGCGACGAUCCGUAGCUGGCCUGAGAGGAUGAUCAGCCACACUGGAACUGAGACACGGUCCAGACUCCUACGGGAGGCAGCAGUGGGGAAUAUUGGACAAUGGGCGCAAGCCUGAUCCAGCCAUACCGCGUGGGUGAAGAAGGCCUUCGGGUUGUAAAGCCCUUUUGUUGGGAAAGAAAAGCAGCAGGUUAAUACCCCGCUGUUCUGACGGUACCCAAAGAAUAAGCACCGGCUAACUUCGUG